GCUUCGGAUUCUGUGUCUCCCUCUCUCUCUGCUCCUCUCCUGCUUGUGCUCUCUCUCUCUCAGAAAUGAAUAAACAUUAAAAAAGAGAAAUAUACACAGCUUAAAUGAAUAAUAAUGUAAAACUCUACUAAGGGACAUAAAAAUGAUGCAAAUAAAAGGAAAAAACACAUCUUAUUUCUAGAUCAACAUGUAUUUUUUAAACUAAACAUUUCUUCCUGUAGGUUAUUCUGAAGAUGUGCUAGGAAUGUGAAAAAUGACUUAGGUUUUAGAAAUACAGAGUAAUUGAGAGUCUUACACAAGUUGGUUAAUUUACUGGUUAUUCCCCAGAAUUCCUCUGAUAUUUAAAACUGGCUGAACUGCUUAUCCACACUGUUUGUUUGUUUAUUAUGUUUGUUUAUUUUUCAGAGAGAGAAGGAGUGAGGGAGAGGCAGAGAGACAGAGAAUCCCUAGCGGCUUUGUCCACACUGUCAGCAUUGAGCCCAAUGCAGGGGCCAGCGCACACAAACCAUGAAAUCAUGACCUGAGCUGUGCUUACCUGACUGAGCCACUCUAGGUGCCCCUAUCUCAUAAUAUCUUAAAGGUUAUGUUUGAACUAGUAUUCAUCAAUUUGUUCUGAGCCUUUUUCAAGUCAAACCCAAUUUUCAAUCUAAUUGGAUCAAAGAGUAAAAAUUAUUUUAAAAAGAAAUGAGAAAAUAUUUCAAUGGAAUCUUGAUCUAUAGUACUGUGGCCAUAGUAAUGUCUCUUGUUGUUACUUGCUAGAGUUAUUGUUUUCUCUGUUUCUUGGGAUUUUUUUUAACAGAAAAGAUAGGGGGUUUCCUUCCACAGAAGAGGUGGGAAGAUAAUACCAGAGGCUGCAAAAUGGCAAUAUGAGGGUCAUAUCCAGCCUAAGAAAAAAAUAACAUUUUUUGAUCUAUCCAGGCCUUUAAAAAUCUUUUAGUUAGUUGCCAACAUUUGAAAAUCAGGAAAUUUGCAUAAAAAUAUGGAUUUCUGGAAUACUGGAUAUUUCCAUAGCCAGUGUAUGCCCAUGUUCAUUUUAACAAUGAAGCAAUAGUACUGCUGACAAUAAUAAAGAAAAUCAGAAAUUUUAGAAAGAAACUAUUUUAAGUCCAGCACACAUGUCAAUUCUGUGUAAUUUUGAAAAAUAAGAUUUUAUUUCUGGUUUAGAAAUCUAUUUCUAUUUCUAUUUUGAAUAUUACUUGGGGAAGAGGUACCAUCAUCUGUUUAGGAUUUGGGCCUCUGAAGGUCUUAUUCUGAGCUUUAUUUCCAGUUCUUUUCCAACAAUCAGAAAAUUUGGCCACACUGGGCAAAAAUCCCCAGUUGUUAGCCCCCACCAGAUGAGGCAUCCACAGUUCCAACCACUUUUUGGUUUUCUUAUACCCCUCUAGUCUACUUGCCCAGUCUACUCACUCAGGUUACUUGUCUGGUGUGUGUGUGACAUUUCAGUUGGGGGUCCCUGGCACAUACAAAGACCAAAAGAAUUUUUACUUACUCUUUCGACCUUUUACGUAAUCAGGAUCAACCAGGACUACACCAUCUGUGUAGAGAAGCAAAAACAGCACCCUGGUCAGGAAAAAUCCUUAGACUAUGAAACAGAAUCAAUCUCUGAAAUACUUCCUCCCAUUUUUCCCUUUAAUUGGCCUCAUCUUCUGCACGCCCCUCUUUUUGUCUUUCUUUUAGUCCCUGGCUCACAUUCCCCUUCUUCCAAGGAUCGUUCCCUUUUUGGACUCACUGACCAAUGGGAUCCACCAUGUCCACAUGGUCCACGAAGUCCCGUUUCCCCAGAAGGAGCAAGGCUUCCUGGGAUAGCUGGAGCACUCUUGAGCACCUUAAUUGAGAAGAAACUUGUCUGGAAGGGGGCUCAAGAGAGGCCUCCAUCCAGACAAGUAUGAGGAAAACUGGACUGGAUGAGGCUGGACAUCACCUAACACACACUCAGAUCCAUGGUCCUCUCAGCAGGAAGAGAAUAGAUCUGUUUGUAGUCUCCAAAAGAAUUAUCACCAGCUUCAUUUUGAUCAAGACUAUUUGCAUUUUCUAGUAGGAUUUAUUCCUGGGCUUCCAAGGUGGUUCAAUAUUUGCAAAUCAACCAACAUGAUCCACCACAUUAAGAAAAGAAAGGAUAAGAACCAUAUGAUCCUUUCAAUAGAUUCAGAAAAAGC
Molecule: long non-coding RNA, 2156 nt
Organism: Prionailurus viverrinus (fishing cat)
Lineage: Eukaryota; Metazoa; Chordata; Mammalia; Carnivora; Felidae
Exons: 4
Source: RefSeq, a predicted model, not a curated record